UACAGAGGUCCCGAGCGUUGUUCGGAUUCACUGGGCGUAAAGGGUGCGUAGGUGGUUAGGUAAGUCCGAUGUGAAAUCUCCAGGCUCAACCUGGAAAUGGCAUUGGAUACUAUUUAGCUUGAGGAGUGGAGGGGGGACUGGAAUUCUCGGUGUAGCAGUGAAAUGCGUAGAUAUCGAGAGGAACACCAGUGGCGAAGGCGGCUCACUGGCCCGAUACUGACGCUGAGGCACGAAAGCGUGGGGAGCAAACAGG
RNAcentral lists this ribosomal RNA (253 nucleotides) under uncultured bacterium. Its description in RNAcentral is "partial 16S ribosomal RNA". It matches the Rfam family "Bacterial small subunit ribosomal RNA", at positions 524 to 776 of the family's 1533-position model. The record is from RNAcentral.